This is a non-coding RNA of Oryza barthii, 192 nucleotides long. The record is from Rfam. Lineage: Eukaryota; Viridiplantae; Streptophyta; Magnoliopsida; Poales; Poaceae.
AAUAAAUACAGUCUUACACUUGACCGUUCGUUUUAUUUGAAAUUUUUUUAUGAUUAGUAUUUUUAUUGCUAUUAGAUGAUAAAACAUGAAUAUUACUUUAUGUAUGACUAAAUAUUUUUAUUUUUUUUACAAAUUUUUCAAAUAAGACGAACGGUCAAACGUUGGGCACGGAUAUCCACGGCUGCACUUAUU